ACGCUCGACACCUACGGGGGGCAGCAGUAGGGAAUCUUCCACAAUGGACGCAAGUCUGAUGGAGCAACGCCGCGUGAGUGAAGAAGGUCUUCGGAUCGUAAAACUCUGUUGUUAGAGAAGAACACGAGUGAGAGUAACUGUUCAUUCGAUGACGGUAUCUAACCAGCAAGUCACGGCUAACUACGUCCCAGCAGCCGCGGUAAUCUGAGCGGGCUGCAAGGC
This 222-nucleotide ribosomal RNA is filed under the name uncultured bacterium. RNAcentral describes it as "partial 16S ribosomal RNA". It matches the Rfam family "Bacterial small subunit ribosomal RNA", at positions 328 to 535 of the family's 1533-position model. The record is from RNAcentral.